Molecule: long non-coding RNA, 1235 nt
Filed under: Chrysolophus pictus (golden pheasant)
Lineage: Eukaryota; Metazoa; Chordata; Aves; Galliformes; Phasianidae
Description: lncRNA (ENSCPIG00010000696.1)
Source: RNAcentral
UUUUUUUUUUUUUUUUUUUUUCCGCCCUAGUUUUGGGAAGUGAUAAGUGAUGAGCAUGGCAUCGACCCAGCCGGAGGCUAUGUCGGUGACUCAGCGCUGCAGCUGGAAAGGAUCAAUGUCUACUAUAACGAAUCGUCUUCCCAGAAAUUCGUGCCAAGAGCAGUCUUGGUGGACUUGGAGCCGGGCACCAUGGAUAGUGUGCGAUCUGGUCCUUUUGGUCAGCUCUUUCGGCCUGAUAAUUUCAUCUUUGGUAUGUGGAUGUCACUUACAAAGGAAGAAAAAAAAAAAAGAAUGGUUAAAAAACAUUUAAACUAUAUUGCCUCCUCCCUGUUUCAAAGUAUUACUGAAAAAACUUUAUUAGCUUAACAAUCCAUUUUCAGAUAUGUAAGUCAGCCAAAAGAUCCCAUUAACUGAAGAAGUCAUUCUUCUGUUAAUUGUUUCUUCAAUUAGCAAACUACUGAAAGUUUCCUAUGAUUAAUCAUCAGAUAGCGUACAUUUACUUUCAGUAUAUUUGAAUGCUAAUGAAAUCCUGAGACCAAUUAUUUACAACAAAAUGCAUGGAAAUUCUGCAGGAAAUGGAAAGCAGAGGGGGAAAAAAAACCACAAACCAACCAAACUAUUCUUGAUUUGAAAUCACAUUAAAUGCAUGAGCAUGAAGUUGUUUAAAGGCUGUGUAAUUUAACUCUUUCAAUGGAGCCUUACAGUAUAGUAUAGUUAACGCUAGAGGAAGGCCAAUGACACAAUGGAGACCACUCAUAGAGCCAGUUACUGGGUUAUUUUCCAACACAACGAGGAACAAUCUGACAGCGUGUGAGGAACUUCAGGUUUUGCAGUGUUCUUGGAGAGGGCUGUUCUGACUUCUACUGUUUUUACUUUGCACUUCUGUAGUACUUCCCAUGUAAGCUUAAAAGUGACUGUUACCAUGAUUGAAUUUCAUAGCAUCCUUAAGAAGUACAGGAGUGCUGUCGGUCCCUUAGCACUAAAGGAGAGGUGGUGUGUGAAAGUCAAGAGAACCACUCAAACAGGAAGCCUGAAUGAGAGCUACCACGAGGUCUCUAGUGGCCUUCUGGUUUCCAUGUCUGCGCUAGCCACGCUUCCUCCUGCCAAAGCAAGCUUAGUUUGGUAUAUUGUGUUAAUAUAAAGAACGAACAGUGCCAGGGAUGGUCAGAGAAAAGAUAAACAUUGUUUGGGUGGUAUGAAAUAAACUGUAGCUCAACCUCCCUCUGUUGAGGUAG